Molecule: ribosomal RNA, 448 nt
Filed under: uncultured bacterium
Lineage: Bacteria
Description: bacterial SSU rRNA
Rfam family: Bacterial small subunit ribosomal RNA
Source: RNAcentral
CGCCAGACUCCUACGGGAGGCAGCAGUGGGGGAUAUUGCACAAUGGGGGAAACCCUGAUGCAGCGACGCCGCGUGGGCGAAGAAGUAUUUCGGUAUGUAAAGCCCUAUCAGCAGGGAAGAAGAAAUGACGGUACCUGAGUAAGAAGCACCGGCUAAAUACGUGCCAGCAGCCGCGGUAAUACGUAUGGUGCAAGCGUUAUCCGGAUUUACUGGGUGUAAAGGGAGCGUAGACGGCAGCACAAGUCUGGAGGGAAAUCCCGGGGCUUAACCCCGGAACUGCUUUGGAAACUGUGCGGCUGGAGUGCAGGAGGGGUAAGCGGAAUUCCUAGUGUAGCGGUGAAAUGCGUAGAUAUUAGGAGGAACACCGGUGGCGAAGGCGGCUUACUGGACUGUAACUGACGUUGAGGCUCGAAAGCGUGGGGAGCAAACAGGAUUAGAUACCCCCGUA